RNAcentral lists this ribosomal RNA (909 nucleotides) under Enterococcus hirae. RNAcentral describes it as "bacterial SSU rRNA". It matches the Rfam family "Bacterial small subunit ribosomal RNA", at positions 10 to 890 of the family's 1533-position model. The record is from RNAcentral. Lineage: Bacteria; Bacillati; Bacillota; Bacilli; Lactobacillales; Enterococcaceae.
AGUUUGAUCAUGGUUCAGGACGAACGCGGGUGGCGCCCCUGAUACAUGCAAGUAGAACGCUUCUUUUUCCACCGGAGCUUGCUCCACCGGAAAAAGAGGAGUGGCGAACGGGUGAGUAACACGUGGGUAACUGCCCAUCAGAAGGGGAUAACACUUGGAAACAGGUGCUAAUACCGUAUAACAAUCGAAACCGCAUGGUUUUGAUUUGAAAGGCGCUUUCGGGUGUCGCUGAUGGAUGGACCCGCGGUGCAUCAGCUAGUUGGUGAGGUAACGGCUCACCAAGGCGACGAUGCAUAGCCGACCUGAGAGGGUGAUCGGCCACAUUGGGAUUGAGACACGGCCCAAACUCCUACGGGAGGCAGCAGUAGGGAAUCUUCGGCAAUGGACGAAAGUCUGACCGAGCAACGCCGCGUGAGUGAAGAAGGUUUUCGGAUCGUAAAACUCUGUUGUUAGAGAAGAACAAGGAUGAGAGUAACUGUUCAUCCCUUGACGGUAUCUAACCAGAAAGCCACGGCUAACUACGUGCCAGCAGCCGCGGUAAUACGUAGGUGGCCAGCGUUGUCCGGAUUUAUUGGGCGUAAAGCGAGCGCAGGCGGUUUCUUAAGUCUGAUGUGAAAGCCCCCGGCUCAACCGGGGAGGGUCAUUGGAAACUGGGAGACUUGAGUGCAGAAGAGGAGAGUGGAAUUCCAUGUGUAGCGGUGAAAUGCGUAGAUAUAUGGAGGAACACCAGUGGCGAAGGCGGCUCUCUGGUCUGUAACUGACGCUGAGGCUCGAAAGCGUGGGGAGCAAACAGGAUUAGAUACCCUGGUAGUCCACGCCGUAAACGAUGAGUGCUAAGUGUUGGAGGGUUUCCGCCCUUCAGUGCUGCAGCUAACGCAUAAGCACUCCCGGCCUGGGAGUGCCCCCCCC